GAUUCAUACACUUAUCGUACUCCAUUGUCAUCUUCCUCCCAAGUUCUUCAUCUCCAUUACCAUGCAUUUUCAGCAGCUCCACACAGAGGCAGCAAAUGGGUAACCCAUCAAUCUCUCUCAGAUUCACCAUUUUCCUCUCCCUCUCUCUUUCAAUCACCCCCUUUGCUCUUUCUCCCAAUUACAACAAACCAUCCCCAAUUCCCAAAGCCACCCCCUCCGAUUU
Molecule: unclassified non-coding RNA, 223 nt
Filed under: Hevea brasiliensis (rubber tree)
Lineage: Eukaryota; Viridiplantae; Streptophyta; Magnoliopsida; Malpighiales; Euphorbiaceae
Source: RNAcentral